GGCCCUGCCACCGCCCCACCCCAAAACCAGAAAUCACCAAAAUACUUCCCCUCUUUCUCCAUCUUUUCCUUGAAAGUCAACGUCUUUCUUGAUUAGAAGGUGGGUGCCAAAGAUUUGAGCUACCUUUUGGAGAAGUGCAGUUGUAGACUUGGACACUUCAUACCCUCAACAGAAGACGCGGUUAGUUUGGUCUAUUGUUUGUGAAUCUGGGCAAUAGCUAAAUUUGCUUUUGGUGUAUUUGUACUGGCUUGGUCAAAGUUACAAUUUCCAGCUCUUGCCAUAUUUUGAUUCUUCCAUGUAUUCCGUGACUAGAUUUUUAGUUCAGUAUCUUUGUUGUUUUCAUUUUCCCAGAUUUAUAUCCCAUUGGAGGGAGUUGGGCAAGAGAAACUUGAUGCUGAGUUUAAGCUAAGUUCUUUUGAUAUCAAAUUCCAUGUGUGCUGGUUUUGAAUUUCUGGUUUUUGGGGCCGGGUUGGGGCUGGGGCGGGGGUGAAGAAGAAGAUAGUUCUUUAUUUUAUUUUAUUUAUUUUUUAUUUUGAUUUAUAUUUUCUAUUAUUUUAUGGGAAAAUUAUUAAAGUACUAUUUUGUCUUUUUAAAAUUGAUUAGAAGGUGGUCAAAAUUAAUUAUUUUGGUCAACUAAUGCCAAAUUUGAUGGAAAUUGUCCGUUGGGGCCUCGGUUGCAAUGAUUUGAAAAGUUUGGGGUGAUGACUAUAACGAUUGAAAGGUUAAGAGAAAGUCUGAUACUGUUUGAAGAUUUGGAAUCUCAACUGCAAAUUUCCUUUAAAAUACUCGUGAUUCCCACAAUUGUGAAAGUGUUUUACGCGUGCACAGCCUUUUUCCUACAAGUUUAGUGCAUGAUUGAUUGCAGCUUGCACUAAAUUCAAGAAAUUUGAUGGUGGCAAUGUGUCUUCAUGAUUAUUAAAGUACAUGAAAAAAAAUAAUUGUUAUAUAUAGGCGAGAGGAAGAUGUGUCUGACUUCUCCUAAAAUUAUUUAUUACCCAUUUUUUUGUAUCUAAAUCUCUAUUGUUGAAGUAUAAAUUUGUUGGCAAUUAUUUAUGCUUGUAUCUCUACUAGCUAAUCAUUUAUUAAGAUGAUCGAACAAUUUAAACUCUUGAUUUAAAUUUUUGUAAAUAAAUCCAUCAAAUCUUUUCACGUAAUCUUCAUAUAUUAAUUAGAUUAUUAUCUCCAUCACAAAUAUUAAAUAGAGUGGUAGUUUUGGUGUAGUGUACGUGCACCAUAAACAAGAUUAAUUUACUGAAGUUGUAUCGCUCAAAGAUGAUAUAUAUAGGAAUGAACUAUUGAGCAUUGAUACGAUACUUUUCAUAGGUUAAAUACACAUGACAUGUCAUAUCACUUCAUUGAUAGAUAACAAAUUUAGUUCAAAUAUAUAUAUUGUUUAAUUUAAGUUUUCUAACUCUCACCGAUCAACGAAAAAAACAAAGAAAAAUUAAUCAGUCCAAGAGACACAACAAACUAAAGAUACAUUCCCUUUCAUGAAUAAAACGGAAAAAAUAUUAGUAGGGUGACAUAUGACUUGACCUUUGGCAAAGGAAAGAAAGAAGUAGAAAAAUUAACCCGUCUAAGUGACUCGAUCGAUCUGGAAAACAAGUGCACUCUCUUGAUCAAACUUUGUUAUAUCACCCUCUCUGGCAAGUGUUCCAGUGAUUACUCUCGCUCCACUUUGAUCCACAGGUAUAGCAGAACUCAAAUCCACAACUGUAAGUGACAAUCAGAAAAAUAAAUAAUGUCUUCGUCCAUAAAGAUAGAUUUGCUUUCAUUCUCACAUAUAUUAAGAAAAUAUAUUUGAUAUAGUUGGAACAAUAAAGUUUGAAUGACCAACGUUGUCAUUAUUUGUGAAAGUUUAGGAAACUAACUUGCAAGUCAUGUGUAUGCAGCCCCCAGUCUUCUCCACAACAUAAUUGCAAUUGGGACAGUUGGGCCAUUUCUUUUUCUUGGCCAGUUUGCGCAUAUUCAGAUCUGCUUCAUCUCUUUCGUUUUCAUUGAAUUCCUGAAACUCUGUGCACUCAAAUCCGGGAUGCCAAGGGACUUUACACUGUGCACAAAAGAGUCGCUGGCAUUCUGGACAUUUUGAUUCCCUAAUGACUUCUUCUUCGCCGUUAUCAUUCUGCAAAAUGGCUGAGCAGUUUUUGUAAGGACAGUAAAAUUUUUGAGAAAUAGGUAUUGUUGAUUCAGUCAGUCCUGCCUCCCAACGAUUGAUCAAAUCUGCUGAAAUGAUAGACCUGCAAAUUCCCAAGAUGAAAGCCUCCUCAGCCCCUAGAAGAAUAUACUCAUUCUCCGGGGAUUCUCCUUUUGGCAUAAUAAUAGAAUUUGACAAUUUGUAUCGGUUUUAUUUCUAAUCUUGAGAAUUACGAAGACAGAGAUUUAUACUAAGUACGCAAUCAAACAAUUAAGAAAAAUUACGAUAUACCUGCAAGAAUCUAGUUCCAAAAAGCUUUGGCAAUUGAAAGCUGGACAUGUAACAGUGUAACUAUUCCGUUCAAUCUGUGUUUUGACAUGUUUACCUGUGCAAUCAGUGCAAAAGGAGUGAAAACAUUUCAUAGUUUUGAACAUCUCAUGGUUUUCUUUUUCUUCCGUGCAAAUAUCACAGGAACUUCGUGAUGAUGAAGAUAUAUGAAGAUUGCUGAAUGAGAUCGAGGCCUCAAGAGCCUCCUGGAAUUGUAAUUCUUCGGCAUACAAGUCAUCUGAUGCAUGGACAUUCCCUGACGAAAAUUCCAUCGGUAAACUAUAAUACUGUUUUUAGAAAUCUUGAACCUGUUAUAUAAUUUCAAGAAUCUUUUUCCUAGAAAUUUCCUUGAAAAUACUUGAAGAAUUGAAACCCAGACCCUAGUCCCAGUUUAAUAUUGCACGGAAACUUCUCACUAAGUUCAAUGAUUAGUCACCUUUAAUUACCUGCUACUUUAACAUAUAUGGCAUUAAUCAAUAGUUCGUACAUAUAAAGAGCACAAAGACGAAGACGAGGAAGAAAAUAGUGGACGAGGUCUAUCUACAAAUAUCACAAAAAGCAUAUUUCAAAGAAAGAAUCAUUGCCCUACUCUAUACUACUCUACAUUUUUUAUAUGAAUUGUAGAAUGCAUUAUGCAGGAGGAAAAGAUAAGAGACGAAAAAUAAAUUAAGCUCAUGUUUGUCUUCCUUUCAAACGUUACUCUUUAAUUCUCAUACUCAUUUUCAACUACAUAUUUACAAAAUAAAAUAUUUUACACAUAAACUCAAAAAAUUUUCCUACCUUUUAAUCGUACAUUCUCCAAAAAAUUACUGUUCAAAAUAUUAUUUUUUCUCAAUAUGACCAUCAUACAAGAUACUUAAGAGAAAGACAUUUAAAUCUAUAUUUAUGAAAUAGAAUUAACCAAUUAUGUUUUGAAAUGGUAUUUUUUGUAGUCAAUAUUUUAUACUCAAGAACAAGACCAAGAGGAUUACUAAUUUUAAUGAAUCAUUUGUUGAUUUUAAAUAUAAUUAUCUCAACUUAUUUUUAAUCUUAUUAUCUUACUUUUCAAAUUUUAAAUUCCACUAUUUUCUCUUUGCACAAUGUUUUGUAUGCAUGUUUAAACCACACAAAUUAGGAUUAAAGAAACAUAAAAAAAUAAUAAAUAAAUAAAUAUAAUAAUAAAAAUUGUUCGUUGAAGCAAAUAUUAUUGUCGUUACAAUAAAAUUUUCUAUUAUCAUAAUGUUGAGAUGAUACUAAUUUUAUCACUCUUAUUCUCCGAUCCAUGGUGGGCAGAAAAACGAUCUUUCCACCGAUGAUUCCAUUUUUGUUGUUCUUUAAUUGAUUUCUUUUUCCCUCACGCUCUAUGCUACUUUUUCCUUCACAUCCCAUCCCAUCCCAACAGGCAACAGCCAACAUUUUUCCCACACCUCACCCGACCUUUUCCCACGCCCCCCACUCUUCCCUUUUUUACCCCGAUUUUGCUAGUGGUACAUCGGGAUAUACUUAAUAAUGUACACCCAACUCACAUGGACGAGAGACUCACUCGAAUAAAAUAUUAUUUCUUUCACAUAGAUCUCACACCCAUGUGAGUGGGAUGUACACCAUUCGAUAUACCUCAUUAUGUACCACUAGACAAAUUCUUUUUACCCAACCAUUCCACCCUAAGUUAUCCUACCCUACGUUUUCACCGCAGCAGUAAUUCUCCUCUCAACCAUUUCAUACCUUAUAGCAAUAUUUUUCGCAGAUCAGAUUUGUGUUUUAGUGAUCGUCGAAAAAAAUUUGUGAUAUGAUAAUGUUUUCGAUAUAAUUGGUUUAUUUAUUUUGUUGGUACUUUUUUUUUUUAAGUUUUUCUAAUGAAUAUUUACUUGAAAUGCAAAUAAUGAACUAUGGAAAAAUGCAAUUUAUAUUAAGGAUUUGUGUUCAUCGUUUUUUAUUAAUUGAUUGGUUUCCCAUGUGAAGGAAUUUAUCAAAUCUCAUUUUUUUGAAACUUGUAGAGAUGGAUUUAGAAAGUAUUGACAUGUUUAUUCCAUAUAUUUCUUUUAGUCAAAUAUCCAUCGCUGUGCAGGAAUUUUGUCAAAUGAAAAGGCAUAUAGUUUCUAUAAUCUAUAUGCACAAGAGGACAGGGGCGGAGCCAGAAAAUUUCUUCAGUGCGGUUGCAAUUUAAUCGAUGCCAAAUUUUGAAUUUUUGGUCAUGAAUUUGAUGAUAAAAAAAAUAUAAAACAAUAUCACAAAAAUACUACAUAAUUUAUAAGUCACACUUAUUUCUUGCGAGCUUUCAUACUUUGAUAUCGUUGUACAAUAAUUUCAUUAUCAAUCUUCAAAAGAUGUAUCUCGUUCAAAUAAUUAAAUUUCUAUGGUAGGAAUCCGUAUUGUCUUACAAAAAACUUGAAUAUCUCUUUUUACAUAAAAACUCUGCCA
Molecule: long non-coding RNA, 4858 nt
Filed under: Olea europaea (common olive)
Lineage: Eukaryota; Viridiplantae; Streptophyta; Magnoliopsida; Lamiales; Oleaceae
Description: long non-coding RNA (OEUR_LNC000791)
Source: RNAcentral